Molecule: long non-coding RNA, 479 nt
Organism: Ipomoea triloba (trilobed morning glory)
Lineage: Eukaryota; Viridiplantae; Streptophyta; Magnoliopsida; Solanales; Convolvulaceae
Exons: 3
Source: RefSeq, a predicted model, not a curated record
ACAGUUAUCAACUUUUUGUAUUUUUCUAUUGAUUAAUAGUUGAACACUACUGUGUUGUUCAAAAAAAUAGACAAGCUGAAGUUGACUAGGUUUUCGGAGGCUUUGGUGGCUGAUUUUGCACUUGGUCAUUAUAAAAUAUGGGGUCAUGUUCAUCUCCUUUUCUUUCCCAUCCUUCAACAAAAUCAUUUAUACCUCUUGUGUGUCGACUUCAAAUUCGAGCGGCUUGAAAUUAUUGAUAAUUCUGCUUCAACUCAGCCCACUCCGGUGAAGUAUGGUGAUACCCUAGAAAAUGUGAAACUGUUGUUGUCUGAAUGUUUCACAUCUGUUGGUGAGAAAUUCAAGUCAAUUGUUUGUGACAAUUUGAAGACUAAAAGGAUGCCGAUGACAUGGCGGGACACCAAGAAUAAGGUGGACUAUGGCAUGUAUCUUAUGCGGCACAUGGAGAGUUAUGUGAGUGAAGCCGUGAAGGUGUUGCAAAA